ACGAGAGUUCUUCAAUUUUAUUUUAUUUUAUUUUUGUUUCCAUUUGUUCUUAAAUUUAUUAUCAGAUUUCAACUACAGUCCUGACCAUUAUUGAGCCAAAGCUCAAUAUUUCUGCUCGUCCUUUCAAUAUUCAAUUUAGUUGAGUUGGUCCAAAUCCAAAACCAGAACCUAGCCAUAAAGUCAUAUCCUUUAUUUUUUUCAGGUGCAAUUAACAUUUUCUUGGGUUCAACAAGGGCAAAAGGGUAAAUAAAAGAACUCUGUAAUUUAUUAAUGUUUCCUACAACAGUGUCAGAUCUUUGCAUCUCCUUUUUGAUAUCUGGAAUCUAAAACUUCACUACGCCUCAGCAUUAAACGACAAAAGAUAAGAAAUUAAAACGUGUCACUCCUUAUCAGCCUGCACAUGCUACCUCCAACUCCUCAAAAAACCCGAAUAAAAAAUAUAUACAUAUAUGUAUAUAUGUUAAUAAUAUAUGUCUUAUGUAGCUCCUAAAUAACAAUAAACAAUUAUAAUAUACAAGAUUCCAUGCCUAAACCCAUCAAUUUCAAAGUCACUGAGAAAAGUUUUCUUGUUCUAGCUUAACUUCUCGAGGCCAUGACUUCUUGCACCGACACUGAACCCUGCAGUGUGUAUGUAUCAGUUCUAGGAAGAUGAGCUUUCAGCGCUUUUGUUUACCACUGUAUAAUACUAUUGUGUAGAUUGAUACCACCUAGCGAGUGUUUCAAGGGAUUCUUGGCCCGUGAGGCAAAUUAUUUAUGACACAUUUCUUGGCAGAUAUUAUCUUCUUCUUCUGCUUUUUUUUUUUUUUUA
Molecule: non-coding RNA, 808 nt
Organism: Jatropha curcas
Lineage: Eukaryota; Viridiplantae; Streptophyta; Magnoliopsida; Malpighiales; Euphorbiaceae
Source: RefSeq, a predicted model, not a curated record